GUAGGUGGCAAGCGUUGUCCGGAAUUAUUGGGCGUAAAGCGCGCGCAGGCGGUUCUUUAAGUCUGAUGUGAAAGCCCACGGCUCAACCGUGGAGGGUCAUUGGAAACUGGAGAACUUGAGUACAGAAGAGGAAAGCGGAAUUCCACGUGUAGCGGUGAAAUGCGUAGAGAUGUGGGGGAACACCAGUGGCGAAGGCGGCUUUCUGGUCUGUAACUGACGCUGAGGCGCGAAAGCGUGGGGAGCAAACAGGGAUUAGAUACCCUGGUAGUCCACGCCGUAAACGAUGAGUGCUAAGUGUUAGGGGGUUUCCCGCCCCUUAGUGCUGCAGCUAACGCAUUAAGCACUCCGCCUGGGGAGUACGACCGCAAGGUUG
RNAcentral lists this ribosomal RNA (373 nucleotides) under uncultured organism. Its description in RNAcentral is "partial 16S ribosomal RNA". It matches the Rfam family "Bacterial small subunit ribosomal RNA", at positions 527 to 896 of the family's 1533-position model. The record is from RNAcentral.